AACUGGCAUCCAUUUAAGAUCAUCACAGUUGAAGGCUGUGAGGACCAUAAGGAAAUUAUCAAUGAAGAGGAUGAAAAACUGAAAGGUCUGAAAAAUGAGUGUGGUGAUGAGGUAUACUCUGCUAUGACAAGUGCCCUGAUGGAGAUGAAUGAGUAUAACCCCAGUGGAAGGUACACGGUACCAGGCUAUGGAAUUUCAAACAAGGAAAGAAAGCAACAUUGAGGGAAGUACUCUCUUAUAUUCUGAAGCAGUGGAAAAUGCACAAGAGGAGGAAGAACUAGAGGAUAUCAGUAGCUGGCUUUUUUGGACAUGGAGGUGGCAUCUUUUGUUGGGCUUUGGGAGCAACUUCAAUUUAUCUGAAGUAAUUUUUUUUAAUUAAAAUUUAAGCCCUCAUCUUUUU
Molecule: long non-coding RNA, 400 nt
Organism: Cornus florida
Lineage: Eukaryota; Viridiplantae; Streptophyta; Magnoliopsida; Cornales; Cornaceae
Exons: 3
Source: RefSeq, a predicted model, not a curated record